UAACGCGUGGGUAACCUGCCUCNUACAGGGGGAUAACAGUUAGAAAUGACUGCUAAUACCGCAUAAGACCACGGAGCCGCAUGGCUCAGUGGGAAAAACUCCGGUGGUAUGAGAUGGACCCGCGUCUGAUUAGGUAGUUGGUGGGGUAACGGCCUACCAAGCCAACGAUCAGUAGCCGACCUGAGAGGGUGACCGGCCACAUUGGGACUGAGACACGGCCCAAACUCCUACGGGAGGCAGCAGUGGGGAAUAUUGCACAAUGGGGGAAACCCUGAUGCAGCGACGCCGCGUGAGCGAAGAAGUAUUUCGGUAUGUAAAGCUCUAUCAGCAGGGAAGAAAAUGACGGUACCUGACUAAGAAGCACCGGCUAAAUACGUGCCAGCAGCCGCGGUAAUACGUAUGGUGCAAGCGUUAUCCGGAUUUACUGGGUGUAAAGGGAGCGUAGACGGCUGUGUAAGUCUGAAGUGAAAGCCCGGGGCUCAACCCCGGGACUGCUUUGGAAACUAUGCAGCUAGAGUGUCGGAGAGGUAAGUGGAAUUCCCAGUGUAGCGGUGAAAUGCGUAGAUAUUGGGAGGAACACCAGUGGCGAAGGCGGCUUACUGGACGAUGACUGACGUUGAGGCUCGAAAGCGUGGGGGAGCAAACAGGAUUAGAUACCCUGGUAGUCCACGCCGUAAACGAUGACUACUAGGUGU
This 695-nucleotide ribosomal RNA is filed under the name uncultured bacterium. RNAcentral's name for it is "bacterial SSU rRNA". It matches the Rfam family "Bacterial small subunit ribosomal RNA", at positions 111 to 823 of the family's 1533-position model. The record is from RNAcentral.